GACGAACGCUGGCGGCGUGCUUAACACAUGCAAGUCGAACGGAAAGGCCCUGCUUUUGUGGGGUGCUCGAGUGGCGAACGGGUGAGUAACACGUGAGUAACCUGCCCUUGACUUUGGGAUAACUUCAGGAAACUGGGGCUAAUACCGGAUAGGAGCUCCUGCUGCAUGGUGGGGGUUGGAAAGUUUCGGCGGUUGGGGAUGGACUCGCGGCUUAUCAGCUGGUUGGUGGGGUAGUGGCUUACCAAGGGUUUGACGGGUAGCCGGCCUGAGAGGGUGACCGGCCACAUUGGGACUGAGAGACGGCCCAGACUCCUACGGGAGGCAGCAGUGGGGAAUAUUGCACAAUGGGCGGAAGCCUGAUGCAGCAACGCCGCGUGCGGGAUGACGGCCUUCGGGUUGUAAACCGCUUUCGCCUGUGACGAAGCGUGAGUGACGGUAAUGGGUAAAGAAGCACCGGCUAACUACGUG
Molecule: ribosomal RNA, 468 nt
Filed under: uncultured bacterium
Lineage: Bacteria
Description: partial 16S ribosomal RNA
Rfam family: Bacterial small subunit ribosomal RNA
Source: RNAcentral